This 166-nucleotide ribosomal RNA is filed under the name Simira lancifolia. RNAcentral's name for it is "5.8S ribosomal RNA". It matches the Rfam family "5.8S ribosomal RNA". Rfam says of the family: 5.8S ribosomal RNA (5.8S rRNA) is a component of the large subunit of the eukaryotic ribosome. The record is from RNAcentral. Lineage: Eukaryota; Viridiplantae; Streptophyta; Magnoliopsida; Gentianales; Rubiaceae.
AAAACGACKCUCGGCAACGGAUAUACUCGGCUCUCGCAUCGAUGAAGGAUCGUAGCGAAAUGCGAUACUUGGUGUGAAUUGCAGAAUCCCGUGAACCAUCGAGUCUUUGAACGCAAGUUGCGCCCGAAGCCGUCAGGCGGAGGGCACGUCUGCCUGGGCGUCACGC